AGGACGAACGCUGGCGGCGUGCUUAACACAUGCAAGUCGAGCGGAAAGGCCCUUCGGGGUACUCGAGCGGCGAACGGGUGAGUAAUACGUGAGCAACCUGCCCUUAGCUCUGGGAUAGCUCCGGGAAACCGGAAUUAAUACCGGAUAUGACCUAGGCCGACAUCGGCCGUGGUGGAAAGUUUUUCGGCUAGGGAUGGACUCGCGGCCUAUCAGCUAGUUGGUGGGGUAAUGGCCUACCAAGGCGACGACGGGUAGCCGGCCUGAGAGGGCGACCGGCCACACUGGGACUGAGACACGGCCCAGACUCCUACGGGAGGCAGCAGUGGGGAAUCUUGCGCAAUGGGCGAAAGCCUGACGCAGCGACGCCGCGUGGGGGAUGAAGGCCUUCGGGUUGUAAACCCCUUUCAGCAGGGACGAAGCGAAAGUGACGGUACCUGCAGAAGAAGCGCCGGCUAACUACGUGCCAGCAGCCGC
This 474-nucleotide ribosomal RNA is filed under the name uncultured bacterium. Its description in RNAcentral is "SSU rRNA". It matches the Rfam family "Bacterial small subunit ribosomal RNA", at positions 26 to 518 of the family's 1533-position model. The record is from RNAcentral.